Harpia harpyja (harpy eagle) is the source of this 4135-nucleotide long non-coding RNA. RefSeq lists it as uncharacterized. NCBI's taxonomy places the organism in Eukaryota, Metazoa, Chordata, Aves, Accipitriformes, Accipitridae. The record is from RefSeq and is a predicted model, not a curated record. The transcript is spliced from 5 exons.
UGUGAGACUCCGCCGAAAACCAUCUAGACCUUCAUCCAGAGGAAGGUAAUUUGCAAAUUUACUAUUCCGAAUUCAGGCAGUGAUUUCCUCCCCACCCCUUGAGAGUAUUGAUACUGCUUAUUUAAUAGUAAGUUAUUUAUAUAAAGCAGGAUCUUUACCUGGACAAGGAGUUUCUCUUCCUACCUGCUCUCCUGGCUUUUGAGACUACCUGUGUGAUCAAGGAGUACUGCAUAGCUACCAGCACCAACCUCACUGUAAAUGUUUGCAUUAUGAGAAGAUGACUCUUACAUGUCCUGGAAAUGCACUACACUGACGUGUUCCAGCAAACAGUGUCUUUUUAAAAUCAAUAUGACUACUUUUAUGAGUCAAGGAAAACUCAUUCAUAAGUGUUUUCAGAUUCUAGCCAACAGUUUUUUUUAAAUUAUGGUCCAUGUUCUUUCCCCCUUUCUCCCCACUUUUAGACCAAGGAGUUGAAAUACUGAAACAGGCUUAGCAAGGGGAGUAAGAGGAAAAUAAUUUUCCGAGUGCUUCACAUACCAUUAUCCUCACCCUCUCACUUGUGCAUAAAAUGCAGCUGAAGUAUGGAAUAUAUGAAAUAAGUUCCUAGAAGUUUACAGCAAAGCCACAGUGAAAGGUGGUGAGAGAAUAGAGAAUAAAGCAGCCAGUGGAAAAACAAGCAGCAUUUUGGACAGGCAGAACACUGUUGAUCUGCAGUCACCUAGAGUCAUAGGGACCCACCAGCAGCACAAGCGAGGGGAGCUGGGUAAGAAACUUUCUGAAGUCCUUGGCCUCAUAAUGACUAGCCAAAAAGCUUUGUCUAGCCUGAGAAUCAAGAUGCUUGGCCCAAGUAUCUUGCUAGGUGCCAAACUUUGGCUCUUCUACCUGGCUCAAGGAUGCACUCCAGAGAUUGCUCCAGAAGGACAAGAAUGCUCUCUGAACCGAAUACUUCUCUCUUUCUCUCAAAAUAUGAGUGUCAGAGCAUUUAUUGCAGGACACUGCAUCCACUCACAGAGAACUCCUUGCAGCAGAAUGAGAGGAUAAGGAAAGACCUGCAGAUUUCCAGGUGAUUCUAGCAUCGAUCCUCUUCCCCCAGCAUGAAGAUGAAUUAAAAUUGUACUAGAAAAUGGUUGGAAGUGAUAAUCACCUCUGCUGUGUUACUCCGGAUGUGUCCAUACAGCUGACUGGGAAGGAGAAGUCUGCUUGCCUGUCAAAAAGAUGUGGAAAUGUGCUGGCAUUCCAGCUGAAGACAUCAUUAUGGGUGAGAAAAUGCUCAAGGCUUUUUCAAAGCGGGUGCUGAAACAUACGUUUCUCUUCUUUGACUCCAGGGGAUGCUAACAGCUGCCCCAGCAGACAGGUAUUGCAAGGUCAAAGGCUAGCAGAGCUGUACACCUUCAGGAUUUGACUGCCAGCAAAGAAGAUGGGUAGUUUCUCAAAACUAAUAACAAAAAUAGCAACAAUGAUGAGAAGAAGGAGCUGACAACAAAAAUGAAAAGGAACCUGCAAGAAGUGAAUUCUGGGUAGCACAACACUUGGCAGAGCUGAUUUUAAUAUCUGACAGGUUGAGUUCACUAAUCUUUGCUAUUCAUAUUGACGUGAAACUUCAUACAGUUUUAGAGAUUUGUAUCUAUUAAGACAUGCAGCAGUGUUCCUACAACAUGGGAACAAGUUUGCUAGCGCCUGGCGUUCGUCUUCCUCCGUGAUAAAAAUUGAUAUGAACUGUUUUAAACAUCUAACAGAUAAUUACUCUCAACACUCAAUAAGGAAAGCUACAUCUUUAGAACUUCCUUUAUCUUUAAAAAACAAUAAAAAAAAACAAGCCCCAAAUCCACCAACAAGACAAAACAAUAUUCGUCCCCCCGUUUUCUCCCCUCUCUUUUGUUUCUUUGAUUACUUGGAGCCUUGUAAUCAAACUAAGCUUAGUUUCGGGACCCUUGGGGCAGUAUCUCUUAGUUCCCUGUCAGGCUGCGUUGCAAAACAAUCAAUCUUGCUCUUGUGCUGGCUUGGUGGAAGUGCCAUGACACGAGGAGUGCAAUGCUUUGCUCUUGCUGUGAAGCUUCGAUGACAAAAGUUUUUAUCAGAAGCUGACUGUAUUUAGGGUUAUGAAUAUGCAAUGACUCUCAUUAGUAUUGAAGCACAGGAGCAUGGGCUGACAUCCCCCGCCACUUUUAGCUGUUGCAGAGUCGUCUAAUGAAUUGUCUUGCUCUUUCACUCGCGCAGACUUUGCUGUUACAGCUCCCCGUUCCAAGGGGAGUUGCCCAGUUUGAGAAUACUAUUGAUGGCAGAAAUUAAUUGCCAAGAACUGCUCUUGAUUUUGUUAAACAGUGUUGAGACAGUGUUUAAAUUGUCAAAAGAGAAAACCAUUAAACUCUACAGGAGACAAAAUCAUUGCGAGUGAGAGGACUUGUGUGUCUUUACGCAUAGCCACGCAGAAGCAUACAGGUGUGGCACAGGUAUGCGUACAGUCUUGUAAUCAUACCUACACAUACAAACAUGUGCGUGUGUGUCAGUGACAGGGCUCAGAAACCUGACAUCCUGCUGAUUUACCUAUUAUUCUUCCAACUAGAACAAAUGGGGAUAACAGAAAGUUCUCCAAAUGAGGAGUCCAAUACAUUGCUAUAUGAUCAAGCCUUUAAUACUCUUUCUUUUCCCUUUGGGACCCUGCCAAACAUUUUUCAGCUCACACAUCUGCAAUCUUUAUGAAUAAGUUACUGAUAAGGAUGUUUCCAACAAAUGAUUAAGAUAUCUGGCUUGAUUUGUUGUAUUUGAGGAGAUGUGUAAGCUUUCAGAAACAAGUGGAAAUGACCCUUUUUUUCCCCAAUUGGUUAAAUUAAGUAUUUUUUCCCUAUUCAUCUGAAAUUUCUUCUGACAUAAAAGGAGCUUUUGUGGCUCUCUGCAGAUUGUGAAGGAUAGAGUGAAUUGAAACGGAUAAUAUAUUCCAAGAAGCAUAAGUAGCAUUCUGAAAGGUGUGCGCGUACUGCAAAUAAUAAAGGAUAUGAGGUUCUCCCAAGAACACGUCAGCCCUGCACAGCUCUUUAUCCAUUUAAUCAGUAAUGGAAAUGGUCCCAGUGCAAGGAAGGAGGAUCUGUUUAAUUUUUACUGCGAUUUUUGGCACCGUUGCUCUAAUGCGAGCUUGGCUUACCUCUUGACCCAACCCCAGGAGUGUCUGUUCUCAUCAGCUGGAGAAAAAAUAAACAUAAAGAACAUCUACAUGUUGGGAGUAUCAAAUAUAAGAGCAGUUUAAAAUAAAUGCAGUUCUGACAAAAGUGGCUCAAGUAUCAUACAUCAAACACUUGUUACCUCUCUUGGCCUUAGUGAUUGCACGUGACUAAGAAAGAGUGAGUGAUAAAAUCUGAAGAAAGAUGAAACCAAUCUGGGCCUUUUUAAAGAUCAUCAAUCAUUCUGCGCAGCCAUGGUAUUAUUAGUUCCAGUAAGCCUUGUUCUCCCAUUUUAUGGACAUCAUAAACCCCCCACCCCUAGACCAAUGUUACCAUGGGAAAUCAUUUUUAUGGGCAGCAUCUUAGUGUGGGCCAAUCAGAUCCAAUCACAUAACAAGCUACUGAAUUAUUCAACGUUCUCCCUAAUUUUGCAUUCUUCCUGCACUUUGCUGUCACUGCAGGGUUUUAAAAGUAUGUGUUUUUACAAUAUUUAUUAAGAAGAUAACCAUACACAGGAAUUUUGCUUUCUCUAUGUUUUUCAAUAAUUGUUUGUUCCCUCAGAUUGUUGCAGUGUAUACAUUGCUAUAUAGAGAAUAUUUUUUCUACAAGGAAUAGCAAUCCACAAUGUGGCACUUGGCUUUAAACUCUUUCAGCUUUUAAAAUACUGAACGUAAGGAAAACAAUAGUGAAACUAUUGUGUUCUAACAUAAAAUAUUCAGAUUUACUGAGCAAACUGUUACCAGCAUGUCUCUUAGCUGUUGCUAUGAAUACAGGGCUCACAUUGUAUAUGAAAAUAUUUCAGUUUUAAUUGCAAAUCUGUGCAGAGAUGAUUUGGGGUCUGUAAUUAGCACAUAAAUUCCAGACUUUGUGACUGCUGUGAAAACACACAUUAUUUAUGGAACUAUUAUCUAAAUAUAAUUCAGUGUUUUUUGCUUUCAACAACUACUGUAAAAGUCUGAUUUAAUAAAAUGUGAAAAAUU